CGGGGUGUAGCGCAGUUGGCAGCGCGCAUGGUUCGGGACCAUGAGGUCGUGGGUUCAAAUCCCGCCACUCCGACCA
RNAcentral lists this transfer RNA (76 nucleotides) under Christensenellaceae bacterium. RNAcentral describes it as "tRNA-Pro". It matches the Rfam family "tRNA". From Rfam's summary of the family: Transfer RNA (tRNA) molecules are approximately 80 nucleotides in length. Their secondary structure includes four short double-helical elements and three loops (D, anti-codon, and T loops). The record is from RNAcentral. Lineage: Bacteria; Bacillati; Bacillota; Clostridia; Christensenellales; Christensenellaceae.